GACGAACGCUGGCGGCGUGCCUAAUACAUGCAAGUUGAGCGAUGAAGAUUGGUGCUUGCACCAAUUUGAAGAGCAGCGAACGGGUGAGUAACGCGUGGGGAAUCUGCCUUUGAGCGGGGGACAACAUUUGGAAACGAAUGCUAAUACCGCAUAACAACUUUAAACAUAAGUUUUAAGUUUGAAAGAUGCAAUUGCAUCACUCAAAGAUGAUCCCGCGUUGUAUUAGCUAGUUGGUGAGGUAAAGGCUCACCAAGGCGAUGAUACAUAGCCGACCUGAGAGGGUGAUCGGCCACAUUGGGACUGAGACACGGCCCAAACUCCUACGGGAGGCAGCAGGAGGGAAUCUUCGGCAAUGGACGAAAGUCUGACCGAGCAACGCCGCGUGAGGGAAGAAGGUUUUCGGAUCGUAAAACUCUGUUGGUAGAGAAGAACGUUGGUGAGAGUGGAAAGCUCAUCAAGUGACGGUAACUACCCAGAAAGGGACGGCUAACUACGUG
RNAcentral lists this ribosomal RNA (497 nucleotides) under uncultured bacterium. RNAcentral's name for it is "partial 16S ribosomal RNA". It matches the Rfam family "Bacterial small subunit ribosomal RNA", at positions 28 to 507 of the family's 1533-position model. The record is from RNAcentral.